This 196-nucleotide ribosomal RNA is filed under the name Leptospira inadai serovar Lyme. RNAcentral describes it as "partial 23S ribosomal RNA". It matches the Rfam family "Bacterial large subunit ribosomal RNA", at positions 2738 to 2925 of the family's 2925-position model. The record is from RNAcentral. Lineage: Bacteria; Pseudomonadati; Spirochaetota; Leptospiria; Leptospirales; Leptospiraceae.
GCGCUGAGUAGCUAUGUUCGGCAGGAAUAACCGCUGAAAGCAUAUAAGUGGGAAAUCCUUCUGAAGAUAAGAUCUCCCUGGGAGCAAUCCCCUAAAGACCCCGGGAAGAUGACCSGGUUGAUAGGUCACAGAUGUAAGUAUGGUAACAUAUUGAGUCGAGUGAUACUAAUAGGUCGUGAGGCUUGACCAUAUUACA